Molecule: transfer RNA, 70 nt
Filed under: Neocyema erythrosoma
Lineage: Eukaryota; Metazoa; Chordata; Actinopteri; Anguilliformes; Cyematidae
Description: tRNA-Tyr
Rfam family: tRNA
About the family: Transfer RNA (tRNA) molecules are approximately 80 nucleotides in length. Their secondary structure includes four short double-helical elements and three loops (D, anti-codon, and T loops).
Source: RNAcentral
GGUAAGGUGGCUGAGUAUCAAGUGGUGGGUUGUAGCCCCAAGCAUGAAGGUUUAAAUCCUUUUCUUACCA